CUUUGGGUAGAAUUAUGUGGAAAGAAUGACAUAAAAACCAAUAGAAUGAAAGUGUACCAGAAAGCACUCUAGAAUCUCUGUGGGUGGAAAUUCCAUUCUUAGAUAAUGAAGCUGUGGCAGUAGGAAUGUAUGUGAGGCAACCUGCCAGGGUAAUGAGAUGAAGAAACAAAUAAAAUGUAAAGGCUACAGAAUGAAGAAGCAAGCUGGCACCUCACAGCAUUGGCCCCCUGUAUUGUAACUGGUCAUGUGAUUGUCAGACUCCCCAGAGAGAGUGGCAGUUCCCUGAAAGCUGAGACGAGAUUUUGUUUAUCUUUGUGCUGACCCAGUACUGUCUGUGCCUGUAAACCCCCGUCACCUGAUGGAAUGGAUGUCUGCCCUAUAUCUCAGGGCUUUGUUAUAAACUCAAAUGAAAGGAUAUUUAUGAAAGAACAGUAUGAACUAAACUACAAACACAAGAACGCUGAAUCUCCCGGACUGGCCCUCUGGACUCGAAUAUCAGCACUUGGGGAUGAAUGAAGAAGGUGCAUCAUUUCCAGGGAAGCAGA
RNAcentral lists this long non-coding RNA (545 nucleotides) under Homo sapiens (human). RNAcentral describes it as "HSALNT0130206". The record is from RNAcentral. Lineage: Eukaryota; Metazoa; Chordata; Mammalia; Primates; Hominidae.